AGAGUUUGAUCCUGGCUCAGAUUGAACGCUGGCGGCGUGCCUAACACAUGCAAGUCGAGCGGUAACAGGCGUAGCAAUACGUGCUGACGAGCGGCGAACGGGUGAGCAAUGCUUCGGAAUCUGCCCAAUGAUGGGGAAUAACCAGUCGAAAGAUUGGCUAAUACCGCAUACGCCCUACGGGGGAAAGCGGGGGAUCGCAAGACCUCGCGUCGAUGGAUGAGCCGAAGUCGGAUUAGCUAGUUGGUAAGGUAACGGCUUACCAAGGCGACGAUCCGUAACCGGCCUGAGAGGGCGGUCGGUCACACUGACACUGACAUACGGGUCAGACUCCUACGGGAGGCAGCAGUCGGGAAUUUUGGGCAAUGGGCGAAAGCCUGACCCAGCAACGCCGCGUGAAGGAUGAAAUCCCUCGGGAUGUAAACUUCGCAAGAACGGGAAGAAUAAGUAGGGGACAAUACCCCCUAUGAUGACGGUACCGUUUGUAAGCUCCGGCUAACUCCGUGCCAGCAGCCGCGGUAAU
Molecule: ribosomal RNA, 520 nt
Filed under: uncultured soil bacterium
Lineage: Bacteria
Description: bacterial SSU rRNA
Rfam family: Bacterial small subunit ribosomal RNA
Source: RNAcentral